GUUUUAAACAGGGAAGGCCUCCUUCCACGGUUCUAACCAGCCAUGGGGCACCAGAGUCUGGGUUUCUCCCCUCAUCCGUAACAGAACACUCACUGCGGCCCACACUCUCCAGCCUGGUACUGACCUAGGCCCAACUCCGGCUCCUGCUGCUUCCUCCUGGUCUGGAUUCCCCGCCCCAGGAUGCACAUUUUUUUGUUCUAGCUAAGACCUGGUCUUUUGAUGUUUAUACGCUGGAGUUAGGUAAAGACUUCUGGUACAAACUGAUCUCAAGCUUGGAGUGUUCAGUUCCCAAGGGGAUGGCUACUUUCCUAAACACAAAGCACAAGGAGUGGGCCUGAGAACACGGACAAAUUCCUGUCCCUUGUCAAUUGAACAAGGCAUCGACUGUAUCCCUGCCUCAAGUGAUAAAUAAAAUGGCUAAAAACAGG
Molecule: long non-coding RNA, 428 nt
Filed under: Fukomys damarensis (Damara mole-rat)
Lineage: Eukaryota; Metazoa; Chordata; Mammalia; Rodentia; Bathyergidae
Description: lncRNA (ENSFDAG00000027679.1)
Source: RNAcentral